This 433-nucleotide ribosomal RNA is filed under the name uncultured bacterium. RNAcentral's name for it is "partial 16S ribosomal RNA". It matches the Rfam family "Bacterial small subunit ribosomal RNA", at positions 29 to 507 of the family's 1533-position model. The record is from RNAcentral.
AACGAACGCUGGCGGCAUGCCUAACACAUGCAAGUCGAACGAGACCUUCGGGUCUAGUGUCGCACGGGUGCGUAACGCGUGGGAACCUGCCCUUAGGGUCGGACUAACUCCCCGAAAGGGGUGCUAAUACCGGAUAAUGUCUUCGGACCAAUGAUUUAUCGCCUCUGGAGGUGCCCGCGUUGGAUUAGCUAGUUGUUAGGGUAAAAGCUUACCAAGGCGACGAUCCGUAGCUGGUCUGAGAGGAGGAUCAGCCACACUGGGAGUGAGACACGGCCCGGACUCCUACGGGAGGCGGCAGUGGGGGAUAUUGGAAAAUGGGCGGAAGCCUGAUGCAGCAAUGCCGGGUGAGUGAUGAAGGCCUUAGGGUUGUAAAGCUCUUUUACCCGGGAUGAUAAUGACGGUACCGGGAGAAUAAGCUACGGCUAACUCCGUG